This 119-nucleotide ribosomal RNA is filed under the name Pteropus alecto (black flying fox). The record is from RNAcentral. Lineage: Eukaryota; Metazoa; Chordata; Mammalia; Chiroptera; Pteropodidae.
GUCUAUGGCCAUGCCAUCCUGAACAAGCCCGAUCCUGUCUGAUCUCGGAAGCCAAGCAGGGUCGGGCCUGGUUAGUACUUGGAUGGGAGACCACCUAGGAAAACCAGGUAUUGUAGACG